GGCAAAGUUGGCAAAAGUUUGAUAGGCUGAGCAGCACAGAGGAAGAAGUGGGAAAGAUCAAGUUGUUAGUGACCAUAGAAGACACUGGUGUGGGAAUUCCUCUUGAAGCACAGGCCCGCAUUUUCACACCUUUUAUGCAGGCUGACAGUUCAACAUCUCGAACAUAUGGCGGAACAGGGAUAGGAUUGAGCAUUAGCAAACGUU
This 204-nucleotide unclassified non-coding RNA is filed under the name Hevea brasiliensis (rubber tree). The record is from RNAcentral. Lineage: Eukaryota; Viridiplantae; Streptophyta; Magnoliopsida; Malpighiales; Euphorbiaceae.